This 231-nucleotide ribosomal RNA is filed under the name uncultured bacterium. RNAcentral's name for it is "partial 16S ribosomal RNA". It matches the Rfam family "Bacterial small subunit ribosomal RNA", at positions 15 to 241 of the family's 1533-position model. The record is from RNAcentral.
GAUCAUGGCUCAGGAUGAACGCUAGCGACAGGCUUAACACAUGCAAGUCGAGGGGCAUCAUGAGGUAGCAAUACCUUGAUGGCGACCGGCGCACGGGUGAGUAACGCGUAUGCAACCUGCCUGAUACCGGGGUAUAGCCCAUGGAAACGUGGAUUAACACCCCAUAGUACUUUUAUCCUGCAUGGGAUGUGAGUUAAAUGUUUAAGGUAUCUGAGUGGGCAUGCGUCCUUA